RNAcentral lists this ribosomal RNA (827 nucleotides) under Bacteroides sp. RNAcentral's name for it is "partial 16S ribosomal RNA". It matches the Rfam family "Bacterial small subunit ribosomal RNA", at positions 693 to 1533 of the family's 1533-position model. Lineage: Bacteria; Pseudomonadati; Bacteroidota; Bacteroidia; Bacteroidales; Bacteroidaceae. The record is from RNAcentral.
GAAACAGAACAAAAUCCGAUGAAGGAUAUCAACUAAAAAAAAAAAAAUAAAAAAGAAAGAAGAAGGGGGAGAAAUAAAAAAAGUUUAAGCUACCUUGUUAACCAACAAAAAAAAAAUUAUUUAUAGGGUUUUGAUAUACAAUGUAAGCUCUAGAGCGAAUGGGUUAAUUAAUCCACCUGGGGAGUACGCCGGCAACGGUGAAACCCAAAGGAAUUGACGGGGGCCCGCACAAGCGGAGGAACAUGUGGUUUAAUUCGAUGAUACGCGAGGAACCUUACCCGGGUUUGAACGUAGUCUGACCGGAGUGGAAACACUCUUUCUAGCAAUAGCAGAUUACGAGGUGCUGCAUGGUUGUCGUCAGCUCGUGCCGUGAGGUGUCGGCUUAAGUGCCAUAACGAGCGCAACCCUUAUCACUAGUUACUAACAGGUGAAGCUGAGGACUCUGGUGAGACUGCCAGCGUAAGCUGUGAGGAAGGUGGGGAUGACGUCAAAUCAGCACGGCCCUUACAUCCGGGGCGACACACGUGUUACAAUGGCAUGGACAAAGGGCAGCUACCUGGUGACAGGAUGCUAAUCUCCAAACCAUGUCUCAGUUCGGAUCGGAGUCUGCAACUCGACUCCGUGAAGCUGGAUUCGCUAGUAAUCGCGCAUCAGCCAUGGCGCGGUGAAUACGUUCCCGGGCCUUGUACACACCGCCCGUCAAGCCAUGGGAGCCGGGGGUACCUGAAGUCCGUAACCGAAAGGAUCGGCCUAGGGUAAAACUGGUGACUGGGGCUAAGUCGUAACAAGGUAGCCGUACCGGAAGGUGCGGCUGGAACACCUCCUUU